AGAAAAGCUGUGAAAAAUUGGGAGAAAAUUGGUUAAAAUUUGAAGAGAAAAUUUGGGGCGAAAAUUUGGGGAGAAAAUUUGGAGAAAAUCGGUGAAGAAUUGGGAGUAAAUUGGUGAAAAUUUGUGGUGAAAAUUUGUGGAAAAAAUUGGGAGAAAAUCGGUGAAAAUUGUGGGAGAAAAUCGGUGAAAAUUGGGGGAUUUGGGCACACCUGGGCACACCUGGGCACACCUGAGGUAGAUAGGAACACACCUGGGCACACCUGGGCACACCUAGAGGGGGAAAAAUGAUGAAAAUUGGGAGAAAAUUGGUGAAAAUUUGGGGGAAAAUCGGUGAAAAUUGGGGGAUUUGGGCACACCUGGGCACACCUGGGCACACCUGGGCACACCUGUCCCGUCUCACCUGCAGCAGGUCUGGUCUGGGCCAAGGUGGGUCCCGUGGGCGCCGUCGUCGCCUUCGCCGUCGUCAUCGCCCUCGUUUGUUACCUGAGCCAGAGCCGCCGCAAGAAGGCGUCGGGAAGCCCCGAGGUGACCCCGGUGACCCCGGCGGGGGGGCGGGACCCGGAGCCACGCCCACUGCAGGUGCGCUGGCUCCGGCGUUGGGCGCUGGGGGUGGGGGAGGGGCCUGGGUCGGCCCCGCCCCCCGAGGCCGCCCCGCCCCCCCCCAAACCCGCCCGGGGCCCCCCCGAGGAGCCCCCGGAGUACGCGGAGAUCCGCGUCAAGUGACCACGCCCACCGGACACGCCCACCGCCAAUGGACACGCCCACUUCGCAAGGACACGCCCACCCCUGGACAUGCCUAUCCCACCUGGACACGCCCACCACACCUGGACACGCCCAUCACAAUUGGACACGCCCACCAAGCCUGGACACGCCCAAUUGGGCACACCUGGACACGCCCACCUGGACUCGCCCACUGCAACUAAACCACGCCCACCUCACCUGGACACACCCACUGUGCCUGAGCCACGCCUAUAAGACCUGGGAUCACCUGGACACGCCCAUAAAUUGUGGGCACGCCCACCUGAACCACGCCCACCACACCUGGACCCCACCCACUGCACCUGGACUGUGGCAAAAGCCACCUUGAGACCACGCCCACCUCACCCGGGCACGCCCACCUGGGCUUGUUCUGGCCACGCCCAUCUCCUGGACACGCCCCCUUUUUAACUUGGCCACACCCACAUGUUUUAUCUGGGCUGUGACCACACCCACUCAAUGGGCACGCCCAUUUCCCUUCUAUGACCAUGCCCACCAUGAUGUGGCCACGCCUCCACAAACAUCACCUUGGCCACGCCCACCUCUACCUGGCCACGCCCAUCUCAUUAUCCUUGUGAUCACGCCCACCCUCACACGGCCACGCCCCUUUCUCGGCCAGACCACACCCACCCGCUUUUGGCUACGCCCACCUCCCCCUCUCCUGGCCACGCCCACUUCCUGGCCACGCCCAUUUCCCUCCCCAACCACACCCCUUGGCCACACCCACCCGGUCCUCCCAGACAGGCCCCGCCCCCUUUCAUUAAUUAUUUAUUGCCCCUCAUUAAUGAAUUCAUUAACCUGUGACCUUUGACCCCCAAUAAAACCGGAAGUGCCCGAAGGGGCUGCUGGGAG
Molecule: long non-coding RNA, 1608 nt
Organism: Junco hyemalis (dark-eyed junco)
Lineage: Eukaryota; Metazoa; Chordata; Aves; Passeriformes; Passerellidae
Source: Ensembl